UCAUUCAUACGCCGUACGUGAAGUGCUUCGUUGAUGCUCGCCCAACACUCGUCCCGACGCCUGACAUAAGAUGUCGUGCACCGAUGCUGAUGUCGAUGUUGCAAAGCCGAUGCAAUCCCCGCCAUAGUGCGUCGAGGGUUGUAAAGGUGUUGAAGGCACACCAAAGUUUUUGCAUGGGCACCGCCCACGCCGGCUUGUGUCUACUAGGACUUUUAGUCCAUUUGCUUUCUUGAUUACAAAAUCAAGUAUGUCAUCAUUUGGUUCAAAGUUUGAAUCUCUUAAUUUCAUUCUAUUUCGUUUGAAUAAAUUUGUGUGC
Molecule: long non-coding RNA, 316 nt
Filed under: Solanum tuberosum (potato)
Lineage: Eukaryota; Viridiplantae; Streptophyta; Magnoliopsida; Solanales; Solanaceae
Description: long non-coding RNA (STUB_LNC003779)
Source: RNAcentral